UAGGGAAUCUUCCGCAAUGGGCGAAAGCCUGACGGAGCAACGCCGCGUGAGUGAUGAAGGUCUUCGGAUCGUAAAACUCUGUUAUUAGGGAAGAACAAAUGUGUAAGUAACUAUGCACGUCUUGACGGUACCUAAUCAGAAAGCCACGGCUAACUACGUGCCAGCAGCCGCGGUAAUACGUAGGUGGCAAGCGUUAUCCGGAAUUAUUGGGCGUAAAGCGCGCGUAGGCGGUUGUUUAAGUCUGAUGUGAAAGCCCACGGCUCAACCGUGGAGGGUCAUUGGAAACUGGAAAACUUGAGUGCAGAAGAGGAAAGUGGAAUUCCAUGUGUAGCGGUGAAAUACGCAGAGAUAUGGAGGAACACCAGUAGCGAAGGCGACUUUCUGGUCUGUAACUGACGCUGAUGUGCGAAAGCGUGGGGAUCAAACAGG
This 429-nucleotide ribosomal RNA is filed under the name Actinomycetes bacterium. RNAcentral's name for it is "Actinobacteria bacterium partial 16S ribosomal RNA". It matches the Rfam family "Bacterial small subunit ribosomal RNA", at positions 355 to 776 of the family's 1533-position model. Lineage: Bacteria; Bacillati; Actinomycetota; Actinomycetes. The record is from RNAcentral.